CUCGGAAGGCCUGGUUUUGAGAACUUACUGCUAUGUGACCUGGGGCAACUCACUUAACCUCUCUGAGCCUCAGUUUUGCAUCAAUAAUACCAGGUUACUAAGAGUAGCAAUAUCAUAGGAUUGUGAAAAGCCCUUGAAACAGAGACUGUCACUAAAUAAAUGAGUCUAUUGUUAUUAUUCUUGCUCUUAUGAGGGGUAAGGAAAUAAUUGUUAUUCUUGCUCUUAUGCGGGGUAAGGAAACUAAGGUUUGGGUUAACACUUAGAACAGUAUCUGGAGCACAGUAAGCUUUCAAGUGCUAUCUAUAAUUGUUAAUAUAACAAAAGCCAUAUGAAAUGAAUUUUGCUUGUUUCUCCUGGCUGCCUCCACCUACCUCGUUAUUAUUUACUAUGAAGAGGAUUUAAAAGGCUCAAGGUAGAAUACUGCUUGUGUUACUUCCAAUUCCCUGGCCCCUGUGUUCUUUGGAGGAAAGUUGUCUAGUUAAAGUAAUUCCCAUUUCCCUAACCAAUGGGUGGUUGAGGGAUGGAAUGAAAUAUUGUGGGAAAGUGAUUUAUGAGCAUAAAAAAUAUGUCUGUGCAUGGGAGUGGGUGGGGAUUAAUGUUGUUAAUCUAAACGAAGCUGAUCUUGACAGUGGAUAACAUUUGACCUAUAGGACACAGGAAUAUUGUGCUUGGUUUUUGGUUGGCCUGCAUUUCCCUUUGGAUUUAUGUGUUUCUAUCUGUCUGAGUAGUUUCAGGAGGGUAGGAUGAUUCUCAUAAAUAACUCAUUCCAAUAUUCAGUGCUCUAGGCGUCUAAUAAGUGCUUUUAAGAGACAAAUUCUAAUUUUUAAGUUAUUCCUAGUUAUAAGAAUUUAAGAAGGAGCACUAGACCUUAAGGGGCUUCAGAGAUCAUCUAGCCCAGCUUCUUCAUUAUGUAAACUGGACACCAAGUCCAAGAAGUAUUGUCCAAAGUUUCACAGCUUGUUAUGGCACUGCACUGCAAGAAUCACAGCUUGGAUUUUCUGUUUUUGUUUGUUUGUUUGUUUGUUUGUUUUGUUUUGUUUUUUACAAAGUCUCACUUCAUCAACCAGGCUGGGGUGCAAUGGCACUAUCUCGGCUCACUGCAACCUCUGCCUCCUGGGUUCAAGAAAUUCUCCUGCCUCAGCCACCCAAGUAGCUGGGAUUACAGGCACCCGCCACCACACCUGGCUAAUUUUUGUGUUUUUAGUAGAGGUAGGGUUUCUCCAUGUUGGCCACGCUGGUCUCAAACUCCUGACCUCAAAUGAUCUGCCUGCCUCAGCCUCCCAAAGUGCUGGGAUUACAGGUGUGAGCCCCCGCGCCCAGCCACAGCUUGGAUCUUCUGACUCUGAAGAUCAGAGAUCCUCAUGGAUCUGUGUCUUACCUUUAUCUCCUCUUCCCUUAAAUCUCAGGCAUUAGCUGAGCACACAGCAAUCACACAGUGUGGAAGGAGGCAGACUGAGACCUCACCAGGAAAGAGAGGGCAGGCUGGCUGGGGUUUAGAAGCCAGGUAACAUACUUUUAUGGCAUGGCAGAAUUUAUCUUAAAAGAUUUAGGUGGGUAACUUGGCAACUGAUCUCAUGACUCUUCUACCUGACAAUCCUUAACGAUAUUUAGGGAUUUAUUUUGCACUGUUUUAGAGCUGUGCCAUCCAAUAUGGUAGCCACCAGCCACAUUU
RNAcentral lists this long non-coding RNA (1672 nucleotides) under Homo sapiens (human). Its description in RNAcentral is "HSALNT0174065". Lineage: Eukaryota; Metazoa; Chordata; Mammalia; Primates; Hominidae. The record is from RNAcentral.